UGCGCUCGGUUCUCGGCCGGUCUCGGCCGGUCUCGGCCGGUCUCGGGAGGCCUCGAGCGGUCUCGGCCGGUCUCGGUCGCUACGCACGAAUAGGAUAUGCAAGAAUCCACAAGCGUCGCGCGCGAUCUGUUCGGGAUUCAGUUGUCAACUACGCACCGAAAAUAUAAAAAGAAAUCGGAACAGCGAUGACACGAAGUGGAAGAAAAGGGCGAGUCUUUCUCUUGUAACAUCGACAUGUCGAGGACCAAGUUAAAGCCAGGGCGGUUAUGUCAAGGACGGAAACGAUGAUACUGUCGAGAUGUGAUGUACUUCGUGGCCGAAGCCAAUGCUCGUUGAUGGUUUGCAGAUGUUGCAACGAGGGUGGAGCACUUCUGGCGACGACACUUUUCUUGAUCGAGCUAUCCCGUAUAGGACGACGAUUCCGGUUCUAUAGAAAUCGAUAUACGCGACGACGUAUUCGAUAACAAGAAAAUUUGUAGAGCCGCGCUACGACGCGUACAUUCGCACAAUUUUAUCGAAAAAAGUAUCCUUCGUUCUCAUAUUCGCCGACUUACGAACGAGCCUUCCUCGUUGUGUCGCGAAUACGGAUUAUAUUACUGAUUUAGCGAAACAAAUAUAUUUUGAACGCGGAA
Long non-coding RNA from Megalopta genalis, 632 nucleotides. RefSeq lists it as uncharacterized. The record is from RefSeq and is a predicted model, not a curated record. NCBI's taxonomy places the organism in Eukaryota, Metazoa, Arthropoda, Insecta, Hymenoptera, Halictidae.